This is a long non-coding RNA of Asparagus officinalis (garden asparagus), 622 nucleotides long. RefSeq lists it as uncharacterized. Lineage: Eukaryota; Viridiplantae; Streptophyta; Magnoliopsida; Asparagales; Asparagaceae. The transcript has 3 exons. The record is from RefSeq and is a predicted model, not a curated record.
UCUCCCUCUCUAACUCUGGAAGACUUUUGGCCCUGACCGCUUAACGAAAUCCAUAAAAAUUUCCGCUCCCUAAAAUCGCCAUGGCCAAAAUUUUCCGCUCCCUAAAAUCGUCGUGGCCAAGAUCAACAUAUAAUCGUCGAUCUCAUCUCCACUCUCUUCACCUGGAUUUCGAUUUCGAAAACCCUAGAAUCCUUCUUCGAGUCAAUGAGCAAGGUCGAUUUGAUACAAGGGAAGCCCUAGCGAUCCUCUCAACCUCGAUCUUCAUCUAAUCUCAAAAAAUAAGGGAAAAAUGCUGAAAGUUUUGAAUAAAGAAAAGAAAUGCAUUGAAUCUAAAGCCUCCAAAUCUCGAGAGAAUAGGGUUUCAGAGCGGAGAGAGAAAGGCUAUAUCGGAUGAUUAUUCAGGUAACUUUUGUACAUUUCCAAUGUCUAUCUUAUGACCGAUAAUGCAAAUUAGGAGUAAAAAAUUGCUAUCUUCAGACAAUUGCAAUUUUCUGGCUAAUAGGAGACAUGAUUAAUGCAUUUUUUCCCCCUUUUAGCUUGUUUAUUUUAAAGCAAUCUCCCUGUUAGAUUGUAAAAUAACACCAUUCCACAAAAGCCAAUAAUACAUGUACUAGUACUUUUU